UACGUAGGGGGCAAGCGUUAUCCGGAAUUACUGGGUGUAAAGGGUGCGUAGGCGGUAAUGUAAGUCAGGUGUGAAAGCCCGGAGCUCAACUUCGGGAUUGCACUUGAAACUACAUAACUAGAGUACAGGAGAGGUGAGUGGAAUUCCUAGUGUAGCGGUGAAAUGCGUAGAUAUUAGGAGGAACACCAGUGGCGAAGGCGACUCACUGGACUGUAACUGACGCUGAGGCACGAAAGCGUGGGGAGCGAACAGG
RNAcentral lists this ribosomal RNA (253 nucleotides) under uncultured bacterium. Its description in RNAcentral is "partial 16S ribosomal RNA". It matches the Rfam family "Bacterial small subunit ribosomal RNA", at positions 524 to 776 of the family's 1533-position model. The record is from RNAcentral.